Molecule: long non-coding RNA, 494 nt
Filed under: Helianthus annuus (common sunflower)
Lineage: Eukaryota; Viridiplantae; Streptophyta; Magnoliopsida; Asterales; Asteraceae
Description: hypothetical non coding rna
Source: RNAcentral
ACGGUAUCGGUCUCGUUGGUGGAAGUAUUGAUCAAUGGAUGCUCCCCCAAAGGUUUAUGACUCUUUAAAUGUCACCCAUUCAUUAUCAUGCAGUGUCAGCACUUUAUGAACUCUAUACAACUUUUUGAAGUAGACCGACGAGUUAAUAUUUCUAAUCAUUGAAAACAUUAGUUGGAGAAAGUCAAACACUACAACAUGGGCAUAUCGACUGGGCAAUAUAAGGAUGCUGCGGAGAAGAUGGUAGUUACUAGUUAAUUCGAUGCUAUUAAUGGCGGUUGGUCCCUCUUCUUUCACGUUGAGUUCCUACAUGUUUAAAAUCCAUUUUGUUUCCGUUUGGUCGACUAGCAUUAUUACUUAUGAUAAACAAAAAAGAAUACUGAAUUAUUAACAUUUAAGGUUUUAGUGGACAUCGUUUAACAAACCAUUAGGUAUACAUUAUACACUUGUAUCUUAAUUAGUGACAGUGACUCUAAUGUGAACUCUCCAUUGUGUGU